This 442-nucleotide ribosomal RNA is filed under the name uncultured bacterium. RNAcentral's name for it is "partial 16S ribosomal RNA". It matches the Rfam family "Bacterial small subunit ribosomal RNA", at positions 338 to 795 of the family's 1533-position model. The record is from RNAcentral.
CCUACGGGAGGCAGCAGUGGGGAAUAUUGGGCAAUGGGCGCAAGCCUGACCCAGCAACGCCGCGUGAAGGAAGAAGGCUUUCGGGUUGUAAACUUCUUUUGUCAGGGAAGAGUAGAAGACGGUACCUGACGAAUAAGCCACGGCUAACUACGUGCCAACAGCCGCGGUAAUACGUAGGUGGCAAGCGUUGUCCGGAUUUACUGGGUGUAAAGGGCGUGUAGCCGGGUUGACAAGUCAGAUGUGAAAUCCUGCGGCUCAACCUGUGGCCUGCAUUUGAAACUGUGUUUCUUGAGUACUGGAGAGGCAGACGGAAUUCCUAGUGUAGCGGUGAAAUGCGUAGAUAUUAGGAGGAACCCCGAUUGCGAAGGCAGCAUACCGGUGCACAACUGACGCUCAGGCACGAAAGCGUGGGUAUCGAACAGGAUUAGAUACCCCAGUAGUC